GGGUCAGUAGGUUGGUCGUGCCACCGGUACGUACUGGUCCCACUGAUUACUCCUUCCUGAAGAACCGUAAUGCCAUUAAUUUGGUGUUGCGGGGAAACAGGACUGUUACUUUGAAAAAAUUAGAGUGUUUAAAGCAAGCUAACGCUUGAAUACAUUAGCAUGGAAUAAUGAAAUAGGACGAUCGAUCCUAUUUUGUUGGUUUCUAGGAUUGACGUA
Molecule: ribosomal RNA, 216 nt
Filed under: Glomeromycotina sp.
Lineage: Eukaryota; Fungi; Glomeromycota
Description: partial small subunit ribosomal RNA
Rfam family: Eukaryotic small subunit ribosomal RNA (bases 44-216)
Source: RNAcentral